GAUUUAUCCACACAGAUUCCCUGGUGGUUUAGGUGGAUCGAAUCCAGGCCAGUCCUACCAUGGUUUCAUCAAGUACUCCAUUCCUCAGCCACCUGGCAGGCAGAGUGUGGAAGUUUACUACCCCUAUGACUUCGCUCAGCAGAGGAUAAUCACAAACCUCCCACCGAUGACAAACGUCCCUCAGACUGUUCCCUUUGAUUAUCCUCCUCAGAAUAUUCCAAACAUUCCCCAGCAAAACCUGAAUAUUCCAUCAUUUGAUGCCAACCCUAUGCCAUCCCAGGAUCCUCUGCAGCCUCUCCAGGACCAGCCCCCACAGACAAGCCAGAUGCCAGCGAAGGUGUAAAGUCGAUGAAGGAAACGAAAAGGAAGCACAACUUUUCCUUCCACCUUAACAUCCAGACAUGACCUUUACCUGAUUAGGACUGAAUAUCUUUUUUAUAUAUUCUUACUUAAGUUAACAUAAAAAUGCUAUGAUGAUCAUAAAAUAGCUUUUUACUAAGAAAACCGUUGAAAUAGUGAACCACAUUAUGAUACGAUCAUCUGCAUAGAAUGAAACAGUUCUGAGGAAUGAUCUGCUUCAUUUUGUAGUUGUCAAGAUUAACAAUAACUUAUUGUAGACUUGUGUAAACCUUCAGCAGCCACCUUCCUCUGUCCACUGUCAA
RNA transcript from Hippoglossus stenolepis (Pacific halibut), 662 nucleotides. RefSeq lists it as uncharacterized. The transcript has 7 exons. The record is from RefSeq and is a predicted model, not a curated record. NCBI's taxonomy places the organism in Eukaryota, Metazoa, Chordata, Actinopteri, Pleuronectiformes, Pleuronectidae.